UCUAUAAAUGUUGUCAUGUUACCUUUGUCUAUUUACUAGUAAGUGUUAGUUUGGAAGUACUGCACAUACUUCUAUUGGCUUUUAAAUUAAGCAUGGUGCUUAGGUUAAACAGCCUUCCUUAAUCUGAUUAGACAUGGAGUCUAGUUCGGUUAUUGAACUAAAACUGCUUGUGUAGACAUUGGUAUAUUUUUGUCGGACUAACCCCUGCAGAAAAACUUUCAAUAUCGAUUUGGGAAGUCCUGAGAUAAACUCACAUCAGAGAUGAAGAGAGUGACACAUGAAGUUUAACAAUUUGCACAAGAAGGACAUAGCUCAUUCAUCAUAGAGAGAUGAUCCAUGGAGGGUGCCACUAACACGAUGCACAACCGCUAAGAAAGGAAAGCUUCCACAAGGUGAUACUGUACCAUCACUCUUCAAGCAAGGUAACAUCUUAAGGUACUUGACUAUCACUUUUAUAAGCUUCUCCUUGGUUCUGGCGUUCAUAUAAAUAAAAGAGACAAACAUGUAUGAUUUACAACUCUAGAUUAACCAACCCAACUGAUUCAACAUGUUUAGUCCUUUAAUCCUUGUUCUUAGUACUACCUCCAUGAUCCCACACUCCUAAACAUAUGAGCUAAAAUGUUAAACAUUCAAUCAUUGAGAGAUAUAAAGAAAAAGACAUAUACAUAGAUAGAUUAUCUUUCCAUAAGGUUGAGCGAAUCUGAUCUGACAAAUGUUAUAAGUGCUACACUCAUGAACUUUUCAUCCAUCAACUUUGUCUUGCUCACUAUGCUUAGGGUUUGAGAAGAACAAAUACACUUUAGGUUCUGUUGGUGUUUUCCACCAACAGGACCCAUGCACUUGAUCUCUGCCUUGUCUCUAUGAGCAGGUAUACUUCGAGCAAAACACGGAGGAGUUUUAUAACUCUCAGACUCUACCAAGUGAAGGACUUGGAUCUACAAGCACAAACACAGUGAGCAAGAUACUGCCAACGCCGCACUUCGAACUGUUGGGCAAACGAAGAGGUGCAGACGUCAAGGUCCGCACCUGAAUCAAAUGACGCACCUCAAGAAUGAACACGGUGAGAAGUCUUGUUAAGAAGACUUAAAACAUUGAACCCUCACCGAAAGGUAAGAUCGGUAGUUAUCCAUAUUUAUCCUUUCUGCAUUCCCUUUUCCCUUUAAUUAUUUACUUUCCUUAAAUAGAUUAUUAGUUAAUCAUGCUAUCUUGAAAAGAAAAUAAAAAUGUUAAAAAAUACUAAGCCCCAUGUGAGUAUACGAGUGGCAUAAAACCUAUAAGUACCUUCACUGUGGUGGCAUAAAAAUAAAAUAAAUAUUUCUUUUCUGCUUCAUAAAAUAAAAAUAUAAAAACAGGAAGUAAUAUUUAUUGAGGAAGCUCAACAUGAUGAAGGCUAGAUAUUUAUGCUAACACUUAAUUAGUUCCACAAGCUUUGUUGUCUAUUUGAGCUCCACAGAAUUUAAGAAUCAAGAAGACUAGCAGACGGAGGACAUUCUAAUCGCUGUCAGAAUACUGCUGACUUCCAAAUACACCUCUACCACCUGCUAGCUACACCAAGAGAAAUUACGUCAAAAUUCAGCUUGGGGGAGAGCACCCCCAUUUAUCUCGCUAAGUAUUUCUACCUAUCUUUAUACUUAUAUUAUAUUAGAAUAUUAAAAUACAUAAACUAUGAAAAACGAAAUAAAGAUUUUGUGCUUAUAUAUAUAUCUUUUGCUUAGUGUGUUUAAUAAAUAAAUAAAGUAGCUAUGCUAAUCUGAAUCUUAAUAAUAAAACUCUAGCAUGGAUAUGAUGAAUAGUUGCUCUGCCUAAUUUGCAAAUUUGAAGUUCUCUCUCAAGUUUAGACAUAACUGUUAUAAUUUAAAGCUUGCUCUAGAUCUAAACUUGUGGGAUGAAAACUUGAUCUGAAAUCUAAGUUGUUAACGGAUAUGAUAUGGGAAGGUUGAGCUGCUGUUUAUCUGUUCCUAGAGAUGCUAGAAUUCUAGAGAAUUUUAUCUUUGAAAAAUCUUUAGAAUAUUUCAUGAUGAGUUCCUGUAUGAUGAGAGUUUAAAUUCCUACCACAGCCAUAUAUACAUGCUUGCUAGACUUUGAGCCACACAUUUAUUAUUUACUGCUUAUGAGCAUUGAGUGUGGUCAAGCUGUGUAGACCCUUAGGAGCUUGUCAUGUGGUUAAAUCAAGAUUCACUUGCACGUUCACUCAUAUAUGCUACUUCUACUCUGGAAGUACCAUCCACAUAUAUCCAUCCAUGUCCAUCUCUAGAACCACCAAAAAAUAUUCUACUCCUAAUCCGGGAGAGAAUAGCCAAAAAUAUUUCUGUUUUCCCUUGUGAAAUAAAUGCUCAAGUUAUCUUGCUACUACCACUUGCUAUAUUAUCUCAAGAGAUGAGUGCUCUGAAAAAAAAAGAAAAGAGAAGAAAAGAAGAAAAAAAAUAAACGAGGAAAUAAAAAGGGGAAAGUGCCCGGAACCUCGAAAGAAAGAAAAAGUGAGACGAGAGGUAAAAAUGGACAAGUGUCCGACAGUAGAAUUAGGGGUACAAGAUAACCACCUGAGAGGAAAGAAAAACAAGAGCAUCUCAUUCUCCUCAUAAAGUUUCAAAAAGCAAGGAAGGUAUGUAUCCCCUCAAAAGAGCAAAAGUAGAAUUAGACUUUCACCAUUGUUAUCACCAUCAUCACCAUACACCAUUCAUUCGCCACACAAGCACAUCUUGAUUUGACUUAUUGACUUGUUUCUCUGGAUCCAUGGUUUGACUAUUCAAUAAAUGUCUUGUAAGUAUGUAUUAGCUGUCUCCCACCUAUGAGCUCCAGAUAUUAAAGCCUUAUUAGAGUAGGGUGAGAGAGAAGGCAAUGUCACUAUGCCUUAUACCACAAAUACCACAUAUCUUGAGAGAAGGCAUAUACCAUCACUGCCUUGGUAAGGAUCCAGAAAUACCACAAAAGAGAGAUUUAGAGAGUCAUACAAGUAAUCUCUGAGUUUUAUUUGAAAAUCUGCAAAAACUCCAGAGCUAUAGCUGAUCAAGAAUAAGAGACAUGGCACUUGGCUAGACUGUUCUAUCUUUUAACUACUCAAGACAGAAGUGACGGUUACAAGUCCCAUGGUGAAAGGUAAAGUAAGUAAGUUUUAGUUCUUGACAGUUUACUCUAACUCAGAGAUGAGAUCUUAUUUAAAAUCAUGUGUACCGUCAAAUUUUUAAGAUAUUGCAACAACUUCUUAUCCAUUGCUGAGUCUAUCCUUGCUCAGGGACGAGCAAGAGGUAAGCUUGGGGGAGUUUAUUGACGGUCCUUAAUAUCAAAUUUAAUUAUCAAAUAAACAAAGAAAAGGAUCCAAAUGAAAUCAACAUCUAGACUUAGAGUUUUAUCUGACAGAAUUCCAUGAGUUUUGGUGUUUGUCUAUUUCUGCAAGGGGUUAUCAGGAAAUAUGAAAGAAAGGCCCACACUUCGGGUUUACAUAGAGAUAUUAACGUGUCGCGCAAUUUUCUACCAUCUAGAAGACUCCAGAAGCCACGGGAACGAACGGGAGGCCGAUCGGGCCCGGGGGCAGGGCGCCCGCCCAAGUCCCUUGGGUGCCCGCCCAGCUACAGUAACCAAUCAGCUUCAAUUUCGCGGAUCACGCUCCACCGACCUAAUACUUCAAGGAAAACCACACGAUCAAUGUCGGUUUGAUCCGACGGCCCAGGUUCACUUGAGGGGACUAUAUAACCAGACCCCCUGGCCCCUGGAGGAGGCACCCCUUGAUCAUUAUUCAUUAUUCAUAGACAGAGCAAAAGCUAGGGUUUAGAGAUGAGAGCUCUCCUCUCUUCUCUAAACUAGAGUAGAUCUAGAUAGUAGCAAGAUGGAGAGCGAAUGAGGAUUAGAGGAGAGGCCGGCCUGUCGGUUCUUCCUCCGGUUGUACUUCGUCAUGAUCAAGCUCUAAUCAAGCUUUCUCAUGGGAUGACUCUGGUAAUCUACUUCUAAUUCAUUAUGCAAUUACUAAUUAUGUAUGUUCUGGUUCACAACUCUUUUGAGUACUUUAAUCUAUAGGACGCUAUAGGUGAGAGUUGUAGUAUAGGUGUAAGCGUGGUGCUUAGACCUAGAUUACAUGUGGAUAUCCCCUGUCUAGCUGGAUCGUGUGGUAGGCCGCGUAGGUGACAGUUACGCUGGUCCUAUGUAGUCCACCUCUCGUUAGCAGGACGGGUAGGGUUUAUCGACCUAAGGAUAAGCAUCCUUUGUGGUGUACUCUUAUCACGUGGUUCGUCCCAGACAUAGACAUACCCCUUUGAAGUAGGGAAACCAUAGUUAUCCUCUCUAUUCUGCUACCAUCGCCCAUAUACUAGAUUGCUCUACUCUCUAUUCCCAUAUUAUCACCCAUUGUUAUCUUACCUUUAAUAAUGUUCUUAUUCAAUUCUAUCAUCUUUCCUAUUUACACUUAUCUAUCUAUCUUGGUUAAGUUAGAGCGUAGUUGGUUCUCCCGUUUCCCUGUGGAUACGAUAAAACCUUUAACCGGGUAAAAGCUUCAACGGUAUCCGUGCGCUUGCGGAUUAUCUGUGUGCGUAUAAAUACCAUAGUACACUCUAGUGCCAUGCUGGGGAUGACAACCUAGUAUUCAAGUGGUGUUAGCAAGUGUCAACAGUGACCAGUCAGGAUGCCAUUUUCAUCGACAUGUGUUCUUUUUUUCUUUUUUUUUCUGACGAGGCUAGUCUUUAGUAAAUAGUAUUAUUUCAACUAUGUUUAGGCCUUGUUUAGUUGUUAAAAGUUUUUGUAUUUUAAUACUGUAACACUUUUGUUUGUAUUUAACAAUUAUUGUCCAACUAUAGACUAACUAUGCUCAAAAGAUUCAUCUCGUAAAUUACAGAUAAACUAUGCAAUUAGUUUUUGUUUUCGUCUAUAUUUAGUGCUCCAUGCAUGUGCCACAAGAUUUGAUGUGACGGAGAAUCUAGAAAAGUUUUUGAAUUUUGGGGUGAACUAAACAAAGCCUUAGUAAAGAACACAAUUUAGUACUACCUCCAUCACGAAAAGAUGUGACUAUAUAAUUUGUACAAGCGAAACUAGAUUAAUUUUAGUUAAAUUUAUAGUAAACAGUAUUAUUCCAACUAGGUUUACAUAAAAAUAUAUUUUAUAAUUAAUUUACUGAAACUCUUGUAUCAUAAAUAUUGCCCUUUUUAAUAUAAUUCUGGCUAAAAUAUUAAAACUAUUUGGCUCCUCAAAAAUAAGAAUUAUGGAUCCUUUUGUGGAUGGAGUGAAUAUAGAAUAGCCUAGCUUAGUUGGUUGCUUGUAUAAGGUCUUGACAGGCUUACGAGAUGCAGUUUUCAGUUGUUUAUUGUCUAAACAAGGCACGAGGCUAUCCCACGAUAUGCAUAAGAGCUCCCUCGGCCUGGCUUCCAAGAAACAAGUUUCAUUUUCAUUUCACGGGCCUCACUCGCUGGAUCUCAGCAGCC
RNAcentral lists this long non-coding RNA (5405 nucleotides) under Sorghum bicolor (sorghum). Its description in RNAcentral is "long non-coding RNA (SBIC_LNC016326)". The record is from RNAcentral. Lineage: Eukaryota; Viridiplantae; Streptophyta; Magnoliopsida; Poales; Poaceae.